GACGAACGCUGGCGGCGUGCUUAACACAUGCAAGUCGAACGGAAAGGCCCUGCUUUUGUGGGGUGCUCGAGUGGCGAACGGGUGAGUAACACGUGAGUAACCUGCCCUUGACUUUGGGAUAACUUCAGGAAACUGGGGCUAAUAUCGGAUAGGAGCUCCUGCUGCAUGGUGGGGGUUGGAAAGUUUCGGCUGUUGUGGAUGGACUGGCGGCUUAUCAGCUUCUUUGUGGGGUAGGGGCUUUCCAAGGCUUUGAAGGGUAGCCGGCCUGAGAGGGUGAGCGGCCACAUUGGGCCUGAGAUACGGCCCAGAAUGCUACGUGAGGCAGCAGGGGGGAGUAUUGCACAAUGGGCCCACGCCUGAUGCGACAACGCCGGGUGCGGGAUGACGGCCUUCGGGUUGUAAACCGCUUUCGCCUGGGACGAAGCGUGCUUGACGGUAAUGGGUAAAGAAGCACCGGCUAACUACGUG
This 468-nucleotide ribosomal RNA is filed under the name uncultured bacterium. RNAcentral describes it as "partial 16S ribosomal RNA". It matches the Rfam family "Bacterial small subunit ribosomal RNA", at positions 28 to 507 of the family's 1533-position model. The record is from RNAcentral.